RNAcentral lists this transfer RNA (72 nucleotides) under Pristella maxillaris. RNAcentral's name for it is "tRNA-Thr". It matches the Rfam family "tRNA". Rfam says of the family: Transfer RNA (tRNA) molecules are approximately 80 nucleotides in length. Their secondary structure includes four short double-helical elements and three loops (D, anti-codon, and T loops). Further hydrogen bonds mediate the characteristic L-shaped molecular structure. tRNAs have two regions of fundamental functional importance: the anti-codon, which is responsible for specific mRNA codon recognition, and the 3' end, to which the tRNAs corresponding amino acid is attached (by aminoacyl-tRNA synthetases). tRNAs cope with the degeneracy of the genetic code in two manners: having more than one tRNA (with a specific anti-codon) for a particular amino acid; and 'wobble' base-pairing, i.e. permitting non-standard base-pairing at the 3rd anti-codon position. The record is from RNAcentral. Lineage: Eukaryota; Metazoa; Chordata; Actinopteri; Characiformes; Acestrorhamphidae.
GCCCUAGUAGCUUAAUACCAAAGCACCGGUUUUGUAAUCCGGAGACCGGAGGCUAAAUUCCUCCCUAGCGCC